UGCAGCAACGCCGCGUGAGGGAUGACGGCCUUCGGGUUGUAAACCUCUUUUAGUAGGGAAGAAGGGCUUCGGCUUGACGGUACCUGCAGAAAAAGCACCGGCUAACUACGUGCCAGCAGCCGCGGUAAUACGUAGGGUGCGAGCGUUGUCCGGAAUUAUUGGGCGUAAAGAGCUCGUAGGCGGUUUGUCACGUCUGCUGUGAAAUCCCGAGGCUCAACCUCGGGCCUGCAGUGGGUACGGGCAGACUGGAGUGCGGUAGGGGAGAAUGGAAUUCCUGGUGUAGCGGUGGAAUGCGCAGAUAUCAGGAGGAACACCGAUGGCGAAGGCAGUUCUCUGGGCCGUAACUGACGCUGAGGAGCGAAAGCGUGGGGAGCGAACAGGAUUAGAUACCCUGGUAGUCCACGCCGUAAACGUUGGGCGCUAGAUGUGGGGACCUUUCCACGGUUUCCGUGUCGUAGCUAACGCAUUAAGCGCCCCGCCUGGGGAGUACGGCCGCAAGGCUAAAACUCAAAGGAAUUGACGGGGGCCCGCACAAGCGGCGGAGCAUGCGGAUUAAUUCGAUGCAACGCGAAGAACCUUACCAAGGCUUGACAUAACCGAGAACGCCGCAGAAAUGUGGAACUCUUUGGACACU
Molecule: ribosomal RNA, 634 nt
Filed under: Agromyces sp. So2Ps_1686
Lineage: Bacteria; Bacillati; Actinomycetota; Actinomycetes; Micrococcales; Microbacteriaceae
Description: bacterial SSU rRNA
Rfam family: Bacterial small subunit ribosomal RNA
Source: RNAcentral